Molecule: long non-coding RNA, 630 nt
Organism: Amphimedon queenslandica
Lineage: Eukaryota; Metazoa; Porifera; Demospongiae; Haplosclerida; Niphatidae
Exons: 3
Source: RefSeq, a predicted model, not a curated record
CACACACACACACACACACACACACACACUGACAGGACGAGCGCAGUACCCUCGCCUAUACGCCUACGGCGUGGGCGAGGGCAAUAACAAAUCAUAACGUAAUAGUUAUUAUACAGUGUGUGAAAUAAAGUAGGGUUAUUUGCAAAUAUCAAAUAAUAUAAAAAAUAGAGCGAUUCUAAUUAUUAACCACAGUUCAAAUUAAGACUCUUCUGAAGCUAUCCACACAUUCCAAGACAUUACUAUAGAUCAAAAUACAACAAAAAGCAUAAUAUAUUCUACACUGGAUGGAUAAUAUAGUUUUAGUUAGCUUAAAUAAAAGUAAACAUUAAAAGUACACAAUACUCGGAUGCAUUUUAAUAAACAGAGCUUAAUAAUGAUAUUACUUUCACACGUAACAGCAAAAACACUAUUAAGCAAGAAGAUGAGCGCCCUAUUGAUGACUCUAUCAGUUGUACUAGCAGUAUCUAUAUUGGCUGGAUCUACUAACAAUUACUACAAUGAUCCUACAAGAUUCACAGAUUGCUCUGUUACUAAGAAAUUUGCAGAACUUACUAAUGCAACAUUAACUCCAUUGAUAUUGAAACGUGGGGAAUUAAGCUACUGGCAAGGAAUACUACAAACCAGUAAAUG